Molecule: unclassified non-coding RNA, 1373 nt
Filed under: uncultured Neocallimastigales
Lineage: Eukaryota; Fungi; Neocallimastigomycota; Neocallimastigomycetes; Neocallimastigales
Description: partial contains small subunit ribosomal RNA, internal transcribed spacer 1, 5.8S ribosomal RNA, internal transcribed spacer 2, and large subunit ribosomal RNA
Rfam family: Eukaryotic large subunit ribosomal RNA (bases 614-1373)
Source: RNAcentral
UUUCCGUAGGUGAACCUGCGGAAGGAUCAUUAAAAAAUGUGGUACCAUUUGUUGGUACUAAUUAAUCAUCCUACCCUUUGUGAAUUUGUUUGUAACGAAUUUUUUUAAAUGGGUCUUUCCCUAAGUUGGAUUGUAGUAAAAAUACAAAAAGACUUAGGGGAAUGACUUUUUUAAAAGACUUUUUUUUUAAAUUAAAACUUUUUGUAUUCAUUUGUCUAAAAUUUAUUUUUAUAAUAUAAAAACAACUUUUGACAAUGGAUCUCUUGGUUCUCGCAACGGUGAAGAACGCAGCAAAAUGCGAUAAGUAGUGUGAAUUGCAGAAUACGUGAAUCAUCGAAUCUUCGAACGCAUAUUGCACUUUUUUAGUUUACUAAAAAAGUAUGUCUGUUUGAGUAUCAGUAAAAUAUUCUCACAAAAACAAUUUGUUUUUUGUGGUUAUGAGUGUUUUACAACGAUAAACAAGUUGUUUCACUUUAAAUUCUUUUUAAUUGAAUUUUACCAAUUCAUAAAUUAAAAUUGGAUAAAAUUUUCCUUUAACGAGGAAUAACCUAAACAAUUUUAAAUUUUAUGGAUUAAUAAACAUUCAUCAAAGGAAUCUAUACAACAAAUAACUUGAUCUCAAAUCAGAUAAGAGUACCCGCUGAACUUAAGCAUAUCAAUAAGCGGAGGAAAAGAAACUAACAAGGAUUCCCUUAGUAACGGCGAGUGAAGCGGGAAGAGCUCAAAUUUGAAAUCUUCAAGGUUUGACCUUGACGAAUUGUAGUUUAUAGAAGUGUUUUCUGUUGGAGUUUUGGUAAAAGUUCUUUGGAAUAGGACAUCAUAGAGGGUGAGAAUCCCGUAUUUGACCAUGACUUUCCAGCUGUGUGAUACACUUUCAAAGAGUCGGAUUGUUUGGGAAUGCAGUCCAAAAUGGGUGGUAAAUUUCAUCUAAAGCUAAAUAUUGGCGAGAGACCGAUAGCGAACAAGUACCGUGAGGGAAAGAUGAAAAGAACUUUGAAAAGAGAGUUAAACAGUACGUGAAAUUGUCAAAAGGGAAGCGUUUAACACCAGUGUUGUUUUCUCGAAAAUCAAUUUAAUGAGUUCUUGUUUUUAAGUUAUCGUGACUUUAUCAGCGCAUUUCUUAUUUUACUUGACUCAUUGAAUGCACUUUUCGUUUAACAAGUCAACAUCAAUUUCUUUGGUGGUAAAAAGUUUAAAGGAAGGUGGCUUGGACUUCGGUUCAAGUGUUUAUAGCCUUUUUUCUAUGCCAUCGGAGAGAUUGAGGUCUGCAGCGUAGAUCCUUCGGGGUUAGAUACCUUUGUGCUAAGUUAUAGUUUUUUAUAGACAACUUGUUGACUAUAAUUAACCCUGUAAUUUACUCGCUUAGGCUAUUU